This 209-nucleotide ribosomal RNA is filed under the name Clostridioides sp. ZZV14-6387. RNAcentral describes it as "partial 16S ribosomal RNA". It matches the Rfam family "Bacterial small subunit ribosomal RNA", at positions 387 to 570 of the family's 1533-position model. Lineage: Bacteria; Bacillati; Bacillota; Clostridia; Peptostreptococcales; Peptostreptococcaceae. The record is from RNAcentral.
UGCAGCAACGCCGCGUGAGUGAUGAAGGCCUUCGGGUCGUAAAACUCUGUCCUCAAGGAAGAUAAUGACGGUACUUGCGGAGGAAGCCCCGGCUAACUACGUGCCAGCAGCCGCGGUAAUACGUAGAAGCCCCGGCUAACUACGUGCCAGCAGCCGCGGUAAUACGUAGGGGGCAAGCGUUAUCCGGAUUUACUGGGUGUAAAGGGAGC